UACGAAGGGGGCUAGCGUUGCUCGGAAUCACUGGGCGUAAAGGGUGCGUAGUCGGUUAUCUAAGUCGGGUGUGAAAUCCCCGGGCUCAACCUGGGAAUUGCAUUCGAUACUGGAUAGCUAGAGUUCGGCAGAGGGAAGCGGAAUUUCGGGUGUAGCGGUGAAAUGCGUAGAUAUCCGAAGGAACAUCAGUGGCGAAAGUGGCUUCCUGGACCAGAACUGACGAUCAGGCACGAAAGCGUGGGGAGCAAACAGG
Molecule: ribosomal RNA, 253 nt
Filed under: uncultured prokaryote
Description: partial 16S ribosomal RNA
Rfam family: Bacterial small subunit ribosomal RNA
Source: RNAcentral